This 75-nucleotide transfer RNA is filed under the name Bacteroidia bacterium. RNAcentral's name for it is "tRNA-Ala". It matches the Rfam family "tRNA". Rfam says of the family: Transfer RNA (tRNA) molecules are approximately 80 nucleotides in length. Their secondary structure includes four short double-helical elements and three loops (D, anti-codon, and T loops). Lineage: Bacteria; Pseudomonadati; Bacteroidota; Bacteroidia. The record is from RNAcentral.
UGGGGGAUUAGCUCAGCUGGGAGAGCGUAUGGUUCGCAAUCAUAAGGCCAGGGGUUCGAUCCCCCUAUUCUCCAU